GUUCUAGUAGCUCAGCUGGAUAGAGCACUGCCCUCCUAAGGCAGGUGUCGGAGGUUCGAAUCCUCUCUGGAACG
RNAcentral lists this transfer RNA (74 nucleotides) under Peptostreptococcus sp. D1. It matches the Rfam family "tRNA". From Rfam's summary of the family: Transfer RNA (tRNA) molecules are approximately 80 nucleotides in length. Lineage: Bacteria; Bacillati; Bacillota; Clostridia; Peptostreptococcales; Peptostreptococcaceae. RNAcentral also lists the same sequence under 1 other name. The record is from Rfam by way of RNAcentral.